RNAcentral lists this ribosomal RNA (279 nucleotides) under uncultured bacterium. Its description in RNAcentral is "partial 16S ribosomal RNA". It matches the Rfam family "Bacterial small subunit ribosomal RNA", at positions 506 to 784 of the family's 1533-position model. The record is from RNAcentral.
UGCCAGCCGCCGCGGUAAUACGGAGGGUGCGAGCGUUAGUCGGAAUCACUGGGCGUAAAGCGUGCGUAGGCGGCGCAGCAAGUCAGACGUGAAAGCCCUCGGCUCAACCAAGGAAUUGCGUUUGAAACUGCUGUGCUUGAGUCUCGGAGAGGUUGGCGGAAUUCCAGGUGUAGGAGUGAAAUCCGUAGAUAUCUGGAGGAACACCGGUGGCGAAGGCGACUUACUGGCUCGAUACUGACGCUGAGGUGCGAAAGUGUGGGGAGCAAACAGGAUUAGAUA